RNAcentral lists this microRNA (21 nucleotides) under Asparagus officinalis (garden asparagus). Its description in RNAcentral is "aof-miR12171". Lineage: Eukaryota; Viridiplantae; Streptophyta; Magnoliopsida; Asparagales; Asparagaceae. The record is from miRBase by way of RNAcentral.
UCCUUGUAGAUGAGUUGUGCA